Long non-coding RNA from Gastrolobium bilobum, 667 nucleotides. RefSeq lists it as uncharacterized. Lineage: Eukaryota; Viridiplantae; Streptophyta; Magnoliopsida; Fabales; Fabaceae. The transcript is spliced from 4 exons. The record is from RefSeq and is a predicted model, not a curated record.
UUCUCUCUUUCUCCAUUUGCUUUCAGAAUCAAACUCAGCUUUAUCCUCUCCCUCUCAAAGUCACAAACACAAAGAGAAGAAUCUCAACACCUAAGCUUGCAUUCCUCCUUUCCUUCUCUCCCUUGAUCGGCCAAACAUCAAACAUCAAGGAGAUAAAGUACCUUCACUAAUUUCUUGUCACUCCCUACUUCACACGGUGUUGAUGGAGCUCCUUUCCCUUGCAUGUAGCUAAAAACCCGAGUUCUUGCAAGGAAGAUCACUAUACUUGAGUUUGGACCACUCUUUCAUUACAUGCAAGAACAAUGAGAGUGUGAGGGUGCUGCUCAUCCCUUGGUGGCUGUUUUCCCUAACCGAUUUGAGAGCACUUGGGUACAUGCAAUAAGGUCUGCGAACCUCUAGGAAAGUGGACGAAUUUGGUGAUACGUUUGAUUAAAAUUUGUAAGCAUCAAGGAGGACGUAGAAGUAUUUGAUGGAAUAUGUUCUUGGAAAAUUUUUGUUCGCGUUUAAUUGUUGUUUGUAAUCUCUACUAUGAGUCCGCUGUUUCUGGUUGAUUGGGGUGUUGAAUUCUUGAACUUGACGUAAUAUUUUGGAGACCGGCAUAUUUUGUAAUCGUGCUAUGCCAUGUGGAUUAUUAUUGUAGCAUGAAUUUUAUGAUGUGGUAUGGAAC